Molecule: unclassified non-coding RNA, 336 nt
Filed under: soil metagenome
Description: partial contains 5.8S ribosomal RNA, internal transcribed spacer 2, and large subunit ribosomal RNA
Rfam family: 5.8S ribosomal RNA (bases 1-120)
Source: RNAcentral
GAUGAAGAACGUAGCGAAAUGCGAUAAGUAGUGUGAAUUGCAGAAUUCAGUGAAUCAUCGAAUCUUUGAACGCACAUUGCGCCCCUUGGUAUUCCAUGGGGCAUGCCUGUUCGAGCGUCAUUUGUACCUUCAAGCUUUGCUUGGUGUUGGGUGUUUGUCUCGCCUUUGCGUGUAGACUCGCCUUAAAAUAAUUGGCAGCCGGCGUAUUGAUUUCGGAGCGCAGUACAUCUCGCGCUUUGCACUCAUAAAGACAGCGUCCAAAAGUACAUUUUACACUCUUGACCUCGGAUCAGGUAGGGAUACCCGCUGAACUUAAGCAUAUCAAUAAGCGGAGGA